AACGUAGACCUCAAGCGUUAUCCGGAUUUAUUGGGCGUAAAGCGCGUGUAGGGGGUUCUAUGCGUCUUAUGUUAAAGGCCACUGCUCAACGGUGGACAUGCAUAAGAUACGAUAGAACUAGAGGAAGUUAGAGGUGCUAGGAACGCAUGGUGUAGGGGUGAAAUCCGUUGAUAUCAUGCGGAACACCAAAGGCGAAGGCAAGGCACUGGGACUUUCCUGACCCUGAGACGCGAAAGCGUGGGGAGCAAAAAGG
RNAcentral lists this ribosomal RNA (253 nucleotides) under uncultured bacterium. RNAcentral describes it as "partial 16S ribosomal RNA". It matches the Rfam family "Bacterial small subunit ribosomal RNA", at positions 524 to 776 of the family's 1533-position model. The record is from RNAcentral.